Molecule: ribosomal RNA, 200 nt
Filed under: uncultured bacterium
Lineage: Bacteria
Description: partial 16S ribosomal RNA
Rfam family: Bacterial small subunit ribosomal RNA
Source: RNAcentral
AGAGUUUGAUCAUGGCUCAGGAUGAACGCUGGCGGCGUGCCUAAUACAUGCAAGUCGAGCGGUAAGGUUUCCACUCUGUUUUCAACCUCGGUUGAAAGUAGGGUGGAAAUACACGAGCGGCGGACGGCUGAGUAACACGUAGGAACGUACCCCAAACUGAGGGAUAAGCACCAGAAAUGGUGUCUAAUACCGCAUGUGCU